AUUGAACGCUGGCGGCAUGCCUUACACAUGCAAGUCGAACGGCAGCACGGGAGCAAUCCUGGUGGCGAGUGGCGAACGGGUGAGUAAUGUAUCGGAACGUACCUUUCAGUGGGGGAUAACGUAGCGAAAGUUACGCUAAUACCGCAUAUUCUGUGAGCAGGAAAGCAGGGGAUCGCAAGACCUUGCGCUGAUUGAGCGGCCGAUAUCAGAUUAGCUAGUUGGUGAGGUAAAGGCUCACCAAGGCGACGAUCUGUAGCGGGUCUGAGAGGAUGAUCCGCCACACUGGAACUGAGACACGGUCCAGACUCCUACGGGAGGCAGCAGUGGGGAAGUUUU
This 336-nucleotide ribosomal RNA is filed under the name uncultured bacterium. RNAcentral describes it as "bacterial SSU rRNA". It matches the Rfam family "Bacterial small subunit ribosomal RNA", at positions 30 to 366 of the family's 1533-position model. The record is from RNAcentral.